Molecule: microRNA, 22 nt
Filed under: Ascaris suum (pig roundworm)
Lineage: Eukaryota; Metazoa; Nematoda; Chromadorea; Rhabditida; Ascarididae
Description: asu-miR-50-3p
Gene: asu-miR-50-3p
Source: miRBase by way of RNAcentral
CCAGUAUCUCAGACGUAUCAUC